RNAcentral lists this ribosomal RNA (440 nucleotides) under uncultured bacterium. Its description in RNAcentral is "partial 16S ribosomal RNA". It matches the Rfam family "Bacterial small subunit ribosomal RNA", at positions 338 to 795 of the family's 1533-position model. The record is from RNAcentral.
CCUACGGGUGGCAGCAGUAGGGAAUAUUGCACAAUGGGGGAAACCCUGAUGCAGCGACGCCGCGUGGAGGAUGAAGGUUUUCGGAUUGUAAAGUCCUUUUAUGAGGGAAGAAAAUGACGGUAUCUAACGAAUAAGCACCGGCUAACUCCGUGCCAGCAGCCGCGGUAAUACGGAGGGUGCAAGCGUUACUCGGAAUUACUGGGCGUAAAGAGAGCGUAGGCGGGAUUGUAAGUCAGGUGUGAAAUCCUAUGGCUUAACCAUAGAACUGCAUUUGAAACUGUGAAGCUAGAGUGUGGGAGAGGUAGGUGGAAUUCCUGGUGUAGGGGUAAAAUGCGUAGAUAUCAAGAGGAAUACUCAUGGCGAAGGCGACCUACUGGAACAUUACUGACGCUGAGGCACGAAAGCGUGGGGAGCAAACAGGAUUAGAUACCCGAGUAGUC